GGAUGAUUUGUUGGACGCUAGCGGCGGAUGGGUGAGUAACACGUGGGCAAUCUGCCCUAAAGACUGGGAUACCACUUGGAAACAGGUGCUAAUACCGGAUAACAACAUGAAUCGCAUGAUUCAAGUUUGAAAGGCGGCGCAAGCUGUCACUUUAGGAUGAGCCCGCGGCGCAUUAGCUAGUUGGUGGGGUAAAGGCCUACCAAGGCAAUGAUGCGUAGCCGAGUUGAGAGACUGAUCGGCCACAUUGGGACUGAGACACGGCCCAAACUCCUACGGGAGGCAGCAGUAGGGAAUCUUCCACAAUGGACGCAAGUCUGAUGGAGCAACGCCGCGUGAGUGAAGAAGGUUUUCGGAUCGUAAAGCUCUGUUGUUGGUGAAGAAGGAUAGAGGCAGUAACUGGUCUUUAUUUGACGGUAAUCUACCAGAAAGUCACGGCUAACUACGUGCCAGCAGCCGCGGUAAUACGUAGGUGGCAAGCGUUGUCCGGAUUUAUUGGGCGUAAAGCGAGCGCAGGCGGAAUGAUAAGUCUGAUGUGAAAGCCCACGGCUCAACCGUGGAACUGCAUCGGAAACUGUCAUUCUUGAGUGCAGAAGAGGAGAGUGGAACUCCAUGUGUAGCGGUGAAAUGCGUAGA
RNAcentral lists this ribosomal RNA (633 nucleotides) under uncultured bacterium. RNAcentral describes it as "bacterial SSU rRNA". It matches the Rfam family "Bacterial small subunit ribosomal RNA", at positions 73 to 694 of the family's 1533-position model. The record is from RNAcentral.